UCGCCCGCCGCGCCCCGCGCCCGGCCCGCCGCCCCCGCCCCCCUACGGGAGGCAGCAGUGGGGAAUUUUGGGCAAUGGGCGAAAGCCUGACCCAGCGACGCCGCGUUGGGGAUGAAGUCCUUCGGGGCGUAAACCCAUGUUGUAGGGGAAGAAGAAAGUGACGGUACCCUACGAGAAAGCCCCGGCCAACUACGUGCCAGCAGCCGCGGUAAAACGUAGGGGGCGAGCGUUGUCCGGAAUUACUGGGCGUAAAGGGCAUGCAGGCGGUGCGCCAAGUCGGGGGUGUAAAGUUACGGCUCAACCGUGACCUUGCAAUCGAAACUGGCGCACUGGAGUGCGGGAGAGGGAAGUGGAAUUCCCGGUGUAGCGGUGAAAUGCGUAGAUAUCGGGAGGAACGCCAGUGGCGAAGGCGGCUUCCUGGCCCGCGACUGACGCUCAUGUGCGAAAGCCAGGGGAGCGAACCGGAUUAGAUACCCGGGUAGUCCUGGCCGUAAACGAUGGGUGCUAGGUGUAGG
This 515-nucleotide ribosomal RNA is filed under the name uncultured bacterium. Its description in RNAcentral is "bacterial SSU rRNA". It matches the Rfam family "Bacterial small subunit ribosomal RNA", at positions 304 to 826 of the family's 1533-position model. The record is from RNAcentral.